RNAcentral lists this ribosomal RNA (468 nucleotides) under uncultured bacterium. RNAcentral describes it as "partial 16S ribosomal RNA". It matches the Rfam family "Bacterial small subunit ribosomal RNA", at positions 28 to 507 of the family's 1533-position model. The record is from RNAcentral.
GACGAACGCUGGCGGCGUGCUUAACACAUGCAAGUCGAACGGAAAGGCCCUGCUUUUGUGGGGUGCUCGAGUGGCGAACGGGUGAGUAACACGUGAGUAACCUGCCCUUGACUUUGGGAUAACUUCAGGAAACUGGGGCUAAUACCGGAUAGGAGCUCCUGCUGCAUGGUGGGGGUUGGAAAGUUUCGGCGGUUGGGGCUGGACUCGCGGCUUAUCAGCUUGUUGGUGGGGUAGUGGCUUACCAAGGCUUUGACGGGUAGCCGGCCUGAGAGGGUGACCGGCCACAUUGGGACUGGGAUACGGCCCAGACUCCUACGGGAGGCAGCAGUGGGGAAUAUUGCACAAUGGGCGGAAGCCUGAUGCAGCAACGCCGCGUGCGGGAUGACGGCCUUCGGGUUGUAAACCGCUUUCGCCUGUGACGAAGCGUGAGUGACGGUAAUGGGUAAAGAAGCACCGGCUAACUACGUG